UCCCUGAGAUGUUCGGAUUCGGUAUUUCUCGGUCGGGGCCUAGGAAUCUGCUUUUAACGUGCACACACACGCCCUCCUUGAACAAUAGGAGCCCGGGAAAUUUGGGCAACAGCGGACCAAUCAAAUUUGUAUUAUGCCAAAAUGUAUGCAGAAAUGGAGACAUUUUGUAGCUAGAGGCUGGAGGCGGCUUUGAACACAGGUUUUCUGAAUACAAAUCUUGCAGCGUUUAACAAACCUCCUGAGAUCUAGCGGGCAUCACACACUAGGUCUUGCCUUCCUAGGACCUGUCCUUCUGAAACCAGGACUGUGGAGAUCCACCUUCUCUUUCUGGACAAACUCCUACUUAACCCUCAAGACCCAUUUCAAAAGUUUCCUACACUGUGAAACCUUUGCCAGUUUCCAGAGUGCAAAACAAAUUGCGUCUUUGCCAUGCCUCCAUCCUGGCCCUCCUCACAUCAUCUGGUAAUUGGGUCUGUUUAUGGUCUGUCUCCUUGGACAGCUUGGAAGUUUCUGGAGGUGCAACCAAUAUCUGCUGCACUCCCCUAACUUAGCAGUUCUCCAGGUGUGGUCUGCAGACUCCUGGGGGUCUGUGAAACUCUUUCAGGGGGUCCUUGAGGUCAAAACUGUUUUCAUAACUCUAGGACAUUAUUUGCGUCUUUCAUUCUAUUGACAUUUGUAGCAGUAGUGGGUGAAACUGCCGGCAUUGGCUUCAGUCAAGGAUAUGACAUCAAAAUGUACGUGGAAUCACAGUCAUACAGUUGCAUUAAAACACAUGCCAGCUCCACUUAAGAACAUCCUUAAUGAGGCAGUAAAAUGAUUAACUUCAUGAUAUCUUGACCCUUGCCUUUUUAAUAAUCCAUAUAAAGAAAAGUGGGAAGUACAUAUAAAGCACUUCAGCUGCGUACGAAAGCACCGUGGUUGAAGGUAACGUCGAGGAAAAGCACGUGUGAGAUUGAAUUGUGAGCGGAAUUAGUCGUUGCUUUUUCAUGACACAUGCUUUUUACUUGAAAGAACAACUGACAAACACCGUGGUUGUUCGGAUUUGGGCAUUUGGCAGAUGUCCUCUCAAAAAUGAAUUGAGUGAGCCUGUCACUUUAAGGAAAGCAGUAUUUGUUACCAAUGAGAAAGUUCAAGUUAGGUGGAAAUCAGAAGUUUGGUAAACGUGUUCUGCCAUUCUGAACUUGACAUCUUCUCAUUACAUGUCCUGGAAGAGAAUUGCAGUGAUACUAGUGAAUUGGAAUUUUUGAUACUGUAUAAUGAAAUGUGUAAAUGUUUGGAAGAUUUGCAUAAGUCUGUGAAGCAGUUGUUUUCAAAUGAACAAUCAAGAUGUCAUACAGUCACACAUGGGUAAAAGGCCCAUUCAGAGUGUGAGACGGGCACCUGGGUGGCACAGUCAGUUGAGUGUCUGAUGCUUGGUUUCUGCUCAGGUGGUGAGCUCGGGGUCAUGAGAUCUGGCCCCCCGUCAGGCUCCACGCUCAGCACGGAGUCUGCUGAAGACUCUCUCUCCUUCUCCCACUGUCCCCCACCCCUAAUGCAGGCGUGCACCGCCCCCCUGAUCUCAAAUGAAUAAAUAAAUCUUAAAAAAAAAAAAAAAGUGCAAGAUAGACCAGUGGAUUUUACUGUGGCAGAGUAGAAAAGUUCAGCAACACGGUUUCAGACUUUACAUCACAACAACCCUUAAUCAAAACUUGUGAAGUGUGUCUGUAGUACCAAAGAAUGUCCAUCGUUAUCUGAAAAGGCUAUUAAAAUACUGCUCCCUUUUCCAACUAUAUAACUGUGUGAGGCUAGGUUUUCUCUCUGCAUUUUAGCUGGAGCAAGCUAUUGCACCAGAGUGGGUGCAGAAGCAGAUCUGAGAAUCCAGCUGUCUUCCAUUAAGCUGGACAUUAAAGAGAUUUGGAGAUAUGUAAAACAGUGUCGCUCUUCUCACUAAACAUCUUCAUUCUGCAAACUAGAGUUUUUGUACAAUUCGAAGUAUUUUCAUUUCAUAAAAUAUGUGAAGUGUUAACA
This is a long non-coding RNA of Zalophus californianus (California sea lion), 2007 nucleotides long. RefSeq lists it as uncharacterized. Lineage: Eukaryota; Metazoa; Chordata; Mammalia; Carnivora; Otariidae. The record is from RefSeq and is a predicted model, not a curated record. The transcript has 3 exons.